Molecule: long non-coding RNA, 625 nt
Organism: Oreochromis niloticus (Nile tilapia)
Lineage: Eukaryota; Metazoa; Chordata; Actinopteri; Cichliformes; Cichlidae
Exons: 4
Source: RefSeq, a predicted model, not a curated record
UCAGGUGGGUUUGGCAGUUGCAGUAUAGUUUUAUUCACGUGAUACCAAUUGUUGCACAAUUCAUAACAACAGUUGGAGCGGUGGUAAAAAUGUCUUUGAAGGCUGUGUAGGCCUCAGAGGACCAAGUGAACGGCACCUUAGUGAAGGUGAGACAGCUGGUUGUUCAACACAGGAAAACAGCUAAAGAACAUGAAAAUAAGAAUCCAGAACAAUUUGAGAAUCUGGACCUUGGCACCUUGAAGGAUCCAGCACUGCAAUCAGCAGUAAAAAGACGCGGGAGGCCUGCAGCACAAAAGCAACCAGAAACUCAUGUUAUUUAUACUACCAACAGAUAGACUCAUUUCCCUGUUUGACUGGUGCUAGUGCUGCUUCCUGUUUUAUUUCUAUUUCCUGUCUACUUUCUGCUGCAUCUGCAUCCCAUCAGCCCCUAUUUGUUUUCUUUGCUACAUAGACUGCCUGCCACCGUAUGCAGGAAGCUGCUGUGCACUGUCCUUUAACAGAUAUGAUCAGACACUUUUUUUCAGUAUGUGAUUCUAGAUUUUUUGUUGUGUUUACCUCAACCUCAAACCAGCAGGAGACAGAGAGCCUGCAGUUGAGAGAGAAGUAAAAUUCAUGUUGUUUAAGC